Molecule: ribosomal RNA, 448 nt
Filed under: uncultured bacterium
Lineage: Bacteria
Description: bacterial SSU rRNA
Rfam family: Bacterial small subunit ribosomal RNA
Source: RNAcentral
UACGGGAGGCAGCAGUGGGGAAGUAAUUGUCACAAUAGGGCGGCAAGACCUCGAUGCAGCCACUGCCGCCGUGUAUGAAGAAAGGCCUUCGGGUUGUAAAGUACUUUCAGUCGUGAGGAAGGUGUUAAGGUUAAUAACCUUAGCAAUUGACGUUAGCGACAGAAGAAGCACCGGCUAACUCCGUGCCAGCAGCCGCGGUAAUACGGAGGGUGCGAGCGUUAAUCGGAAUUACUGGGCGUAAAGGGCACGCAGGCGGUUAAUUAAGUUGGAUGUGAAAUCCCCGGGCUUAACCUGGGAAUGGCAUUCAAGCUGGUUAGCUAGAGUCUUGUAGAGGGGGUAGAAUUCCAUGUGUAGCGGUGAAAUGCGUAGAGAUGUGGAGGAAUACCGGUGGCGAAGGCGGCCCCUGGACAAAGACUGACGCUCAUGUGCGAAAGCGUGGGGAGCAAAC